AUCUGGGCAGCGGAAUUCAAGAUUGUCGGCGCUCGCGUCGACGGUCUGAUAUUUCCGUUGUCGGCCCGAUAAGGGCGUAGACGUUGCGACCCGUUCGGUGUCCGUCCUUGUUCGGAGGAACCGCGUUCGAGUUCACUGCGGCGCGAGCUUGUCUCGUGCGGGGGUGAAGUUCGCGAACUUCUGGCCGACUGGCCGGACGGUAUGUUCCGAUGGGGGCCGGGGCUCGGUACCUUGUGUACCCCACGUCGGGACCGGUCAGCGACGAUUCUUCCGGCCUUUUUC
RNAcentral lists this ribosomal RNA (282 nucleotides) under Kuwanina parva. RNAcentral describes it as "partial 28S ribosomal RNA". Lineage: Eukaryota; Metazoa; Arthropoda; Insecta; Hemiptera; Eriococcidae. The record is from RNAcentral.